Hippocampus zosterae (dwarf seahorse) is the source of this 1201-nucleotide long non-coding RNA. RefSeq lists it as uncharacterized. The transcript has 4 exons. NCBI's taxonomy places the organism in Eukaryota, Metazoa, Chordata, Actinopteri, Syngnathiformes, Syngnathidae. The record is from RefSeq and is a predicted model, not a curated record.
GGGGACCAGUGACCCCUCCGCCCACCCACUAGCUCCGCCUGUGAAUUCAGUCAUUGUCACAGUCUUUUUUAUUAAGCACGAGCUUCAAAAAACGGAGAAUGGUGCCAGGGGGCUCCCAGUCAUUGCAUUCAACCGAAAAGGACUGGCUCACUGUGCGAAAUAGCCGAGGGCCGAGAAAACACUGGCAAGCAGUAAGUGAUGGCAUUGAUGCUGUUUAUACUGGAGCGGCGCCAUCGACCGAGCUCAUUUUGUUCACUCCCUCUGAAUUCCGCUAGCGUAAAGCGGCUAUAACAUCAAAAAAGGUCCUCGCUCCGUCGAGUCAAUCACAACAAUUAGCGUUCGUCAUCCCACGGGAGAAUAUAAAGGCAUUGUCGGAACCGUCAAAAAAUAAUAAUUGCAGCGAGGGAUUGUUUGGAUGCGAACAAAAGCAUGUGACAGCAUUCAAUUUCGGUGAUGUCGCGUCAGACGUCGUCGCCGUCAAGCUCAGUUUUUUUCGAUUGACACCUGUCAACAGUCUCCACGGCAAUGUAACACGAAUUAACAACCAAGAAUGUGGCUUUGUAGGCCUUUGAGAACAAAAUAUAUCUGGUCUGAUAGUGUUGUGGGUUCACUUGUGGUCAUAAAAAGAGCUCUUCGCGCACAUAAUCUUCCGAAUGAAGGCUGUCACAGCUCGUUUCGUGAAGUCGACGUUCGUGUUGGAAAGUCAAUCUAUGGCGAGACCGGAAGAGUAUUAACACUCGCCGUUGUGCUACGAUAAGGUUCACGUUCGCUGUAUUUACAUGGAAAUAAUUUAAGACGUGUCAUUAAAGCUCGACCGGAUUGAAAACAUCCCGCCGGUGUGCCACAGGAGGCUCCGCCCACCAGCAAACACACAGGAAUGGCAGAGCAGCCUGGCAGAAAUCAUGAGCAUGUCACAGAAAUCGGACAUGUGGCAGUGGUUCUUCCUGCAUGGCUCUUAUGUAGGACAGACGCGGCAUUGUUGCUUCCAGCAGAGGCCUUGGAAGCUGCACGCAGGGUCACGGCUUUCGCAGGGGCGCCCCUCCCAAGAUGGCCGCCACCUACGCACGUCGGUUAGCCUAGCAGCUACAUCACCAGCUGGUCUUCAUUUCAUUGAGUGGAAAUGUUUGCUGGGUCCGGAUAAGCACAUGGGCAGCAGGUAAGAACUGUUUGGCUCUUUGCACUAGCAGUUUAUGUUCAUUGA